GAUGAACGCUGGCGGCGUGCCUAAUACAUGCAAGUCGAGCGAACAGACGAGGAGCUUGCUCCUCUGACGUUAGCGGCGGACGGGUGAGUAACACGUGGAUAACCUACCUAUAAGACUGGGAUAACUUCGGGAAACCGGAGCUAAUACCGGAUAAUAUAUUGAACCGCAAGGUUCAAUAGUGAAAUACGGUUUUGCUGUCACUUAUAGAUGGAUCCGCGCCGCAUUAGCUAGUUGGUAAGGUAACGGCUUACCAAGGCAACGAUGCGUAGCCGACCUGAGAGGGUGAUCGGCCACACUGGAACUGAGACACGGUCCAGACUCCUACGGGAGGCAGCAGUAGGGAAUCUUCCGCAAUGGGCGAAAGCUUGACGGAGCAACGCCGCGUGAGUGAUGAAGGUCUUCGGAUCGUAAAACUCUGUUAUUAGGGAAGAACAAAUGUGUAAGUACCUAUGCACGUCUUGACGGUACCUAAUCAGAAAGCCACGGCUAACUACGUG
RNAcentral lists this ribosomal RNA (497 nucleotides) under uncultured bacterium. Its description in RNAcentral is "partial 16S ribosomal RNA". It matches the Rfam family "Bacterial small subunit ribosomal RNA", at positions 28 to 507 of the family's 1533-position model. The record is from RNAcentral.